GAAUAGUUAUUUGAGAAGCUGCUAACUUUUCUAUAGUGAAAACUACUAUAUA
This 52-nucleotide transfer RNA is filed under the name Philodromus sp. RNAcentral's name for it is "tRNA-Ser". Lineage: Eukaryota; Metazoa; Arthropoda; Arachnida; Araneae; Philodromidae. The record is from RNAcentral.